CCUACGGGAGACAGCAGUGGGGGAUAUUGCACAAUGGGGGGAACCCUGAUGCAGCGACGCCGCGUGGGUGAAGAAGCGCCUCGGCGCGUAAAGCCCUGUCAGCAGGGAAGAAAAUGACGGUACCUGAAGAAGAAGCUCCGGCUAACUACGUGCCAGCAGCGGCGGUAAUACGCAGGGGGCAAGCGUUAUCCGGAUUUACUGGGGGUAAGGGGGGUGCAGACGGAGUUGCAAGCCAGGAGUGAAAGUCCGGGGCCCAACCCCGGUACUGCACUUGGAACUGCGUGGCUGGAGUGCAGGAGGGGCAGGCGGAAUUCGUGGUGUAGCGGUGAAAUGCGUAGAUAUCAGGAGGAACACCGGUGGCGAAGGCAGCCUGCUGGACUGCAACUGACAUUGAGGCCCGAAAGCGUGGGGAGCAAACAGGAUUAGAUACCCCAGUAGUC
Molecule: ribosomal RNA, 440 nt
Filed under: uncultured bacterium
Lineage: Bacteria
Description: partial 16S ribosomal RNA
Rfam family: Bacterial small subunit ribosomal RNA
Source: RNAcentral